AGUCAUAUGCUUGUCUCAAAGAUUAAGCCAUGCAUGUCUCAGUGCAAGCCGCAUUAAGGUGAAACCGCGAAAGGCUCAUUAAAUCAGUUGUGGUUCCUUAGAUCGUACCCAAGUUACUUGGAUAACUGUGGUAAUUCUAGAGCUAAUACAUGCCGACAGAGUUCCGACCGUCGCGGCGCCCUCGGGCGUCGCUCGCGGGAGGAACGCUUUUAUUAGAUCAAAACCGGCCCGUCGCGGCGCGCUUCGUGCGCGUCCCGAUCGCGGCCCGCGCAAAGACCUGGUGACUCUGAAUAACUUCGAGCUGAUCGCACGGUCUCCGUACCGGCGACGCAUCUUUCAAAUGUCUGCCUUAUCAACUGUCGACGGUAGGUUCCAUGCCUACCGUGGUGGUAACGGGUAACGGGGAAUCAGGGUUCGAUUCCGGAGAGGGAGCCUGAGAAACGGCUACCACAUCCAAGGAAGGCAGCAGGCGCGCAAAUUACCCACUCCCGGAACGGGGAGGUAGUGACGAAAAAUAACGAUACGGGACUCAUCCGAGGCCCCGUAAUCG
RNAcentral lists this ribosomal RNA (550 nucleotides) under Metopolophium dirhodum (rose-grain aphid). RNAcentral's name for it is "SSU rRNA". It matches the Rfam family "Eukaryotic small subunit ribosomal RNA", at positions 22 to 511 of the family's 1831-position model. The record is from RNAcentral. Lineage: Eukaryota; Metazoa; Arthropoda; Insecta; Hemiptera; Aphididae.